This 301-nucleotide ribosomal RNA is filed under the name uncultured bacterium. Its description in RNAcentral is "partial 16S ribosomal RNA". It matches the Rfam family "Bacterial small subunit ribosomal RNA", at positions 509 to 807 of the family's 1533-position model. The record is from RNAcentral.
CAGUCGCCACGGUAAUGCGUAGGGUCCGAGCGUUGUCCGGAAUUAUUGGGCGUAAAGAGCUCGUAGGCGGUUCGUCGCGUCUGCCGUGAAAUCCUCAGGCUCAACCUGAGGCGUGCGGUGGGUACGGGCGGACUAGAGUGCGGUAGGGGAGAAUGGAACUCCUGGUGUAGCGGUGGAAUGCGCAGAUAUCGGAAGGAACACCUGUGGCGAAAGCGGCUCACUGGACCAUAACUGACGCUGAGGCGCGAAAGCUAGGGGAGCAAACAGGAUUAGAGACCCCGGUAGUCCCUGUCUCUUAUAC